This 416-nucleotide ribosomal RNA is filed under the name uncultured bacterium. Its description in RNAcentral is "bacterial SSU rRNA". It matches the Rfam family "Bacterial small subunit ribosomal RNA", at positions 355 to 774 of the family's 1533-position model. RNAcentral also lists the same sequence under 2 other names. The record is from RNAcentral.
UGGGGAAUAUUGGACAAUGGGCGAAAGCCUGAUCCAGCAACGCCGCGUGAGGGAUGACGGCCUUCGGGUUGUAAACCUCUUUCAGUACCGACGAAGCGCCAAUAACGGUGGUGACGGUAGGUACAGAAGAAGGACCGGCCAACUACGUGCCAGCAGCCGCGGUAAUACGUAGGGUCCGAGCGUUGUCCGGAAUUAUUGGGCGUAAAGGGCUCGUAGGCGGUCUGUUGCGUCGGGAGUGAAAACUUACAGCUUAACUGUGAGCGUGCUUCCGAUACGGGCAGACUUGAGGUAUUCAGGGGAGAACGGAAUUCCUGGUGUAGCGGUGAAAUGCGCAGAUAUCAGGAGGAACACCGGUGGCGAAGGCGGUUCUCUGGGAAUAUCCUGACGCUGAGGAGCGAAAGUGUGGGGAGCGAACA